This 434-nucleotide ribosomal RNA is filed under the name uncultured bacterium. RNAcentral describes it as "bacterial SSU rRNA". It matches the Rfam family "Bacterial small subunit ribosomal RNA", at positions 855 to 1290 of the family's 1533-position model. The record is from RNAcentral.
AAGCAAUAAGUGAUCCACCUGGGGAGUACGGCGGCAACGCUGAAACUCAAAGGAAUUGACGGGGGCCCGCACAAGCGGAGGAACAUGUGGUUUAAUUCGAUGAUACGCGAGGAACCUUACCUGGGCUUGAAAGGGGAUUGACCUCCCGGGAAACCGGGAUUCUCUUCGGAGCAAUCUCCUAGGUGCUGCAUGGUUGUCGUCAGCUCGUGCCGUGAGGUGUCGGGUUAAGUCCCAUAACGAGCGCAACCCCUAUUGUUAGUUGCCAGCGGGUAAUGCCGGGAACUCUAACGAAACUGCCGGUGUAAACCGAGAGGAAGGUGGGGAUGACGUCAAAUCAGCACGGCCCUUAUGUCCAGGGCUACACACGUGUUACAAUGGCCGGCACAAAGGGCAGCUACUAGGUGACUAGAUGCUAAUCUCUAAAACCGGUCUCA